UACGAAGGGGGCUAGCGUUGCUCGGAAUGACUGGGCGUAAAGGGCGCGUAGGCGGAGUGCUUUGUCGGGCGUGAAAUUCCAGGGCUCAACCUUGGGGGCUGCGUUCGAGACGGGCAUUCUAGAGUGGAGAAGAGGGUCGUGGAAUUCCCAGUGUAGAGGUGAAAUUCGUAGAUAUUGGGAAGAACACCAGUGGCGAAGGCGGCUAACUGGUCCAGCACUGACGCUGAGGUGCGAAAGCGUGGGGAGCAAACAGG
This 254-nucleotide ribosomal RNA is filed under the name uncultured bacterium. RNAcentral's name for it is "partial 16S ribosomal RNA". It matches the Rfam family "Bacterial small subunit ribosomal RNA", at positions 524 to 776 of the family's 1533-position model. The record is from RNAcentral.